This 253-nucleotide ribosomal RNA is filed under the name uncultured bacterium. Its description in RNAcentral is "partial 16S ribosomal RNA". It matches the Rfam family "Bacterial small subunit ribosomal RNA", at positions 524 to 776 of the family's 1533-position model. The record is from RNAcentral.
UACGUAGGGUGCAAGCGUUAAUCGGAAUUACUGGGCGUAAAGCGUGCGCAGGCGGUCUGAUAAGACAGUCGUGAAAUCCCCGAGCUUAACUUGGGAACUGCGAAUGUAACUGUCAGACUAGAGUGUGUCAGAGGGAGGUAGAAUUCCACGUGUAGCAGUGAAAUGCGUAGAGAUGUGGAGGAAUACCGGUGGCGAAGGCGGCCUCCUGGGAUAACACUGACGCUCAUGUACGAAAGCGUGGGGAGCAAACAGG